Molecule: ribosomal RNA, 427 nt
Filed under: uncultured Fervidicella sp.
Lineage: Bacteria; Bacillati; Bacillota; Clostridia; Eubacteriales; Clostridiaceae
Description: bacterial SSU rRNA
Rfam family: Bacterial small subunit ribosomal RNA
Source: RNAcentral
AACGCGAAGAACCUUACCAAGACUUGACAUAUACAGGAAAGGCUAAGAGAUUAGUCCCCUCUUCGGAGCUUGUAUACAGGUGAUGCAUGGUUGUCGACAGCUCGUGUCGUGAGAUGUUAGGUUAAGUCCUGCAACGAGCGCAACCCUCGUGAUUAGUUGCCAGAGAAUGGAACUCUAAUAAGACUGCCGUAGUUAAUACGGAGGAAGGUGAGGAUGAUGUCAAAUCAUCACGUCCCUUAUGUCUUGGGCUACACACGUACUACAAUGGGUGUUACAGAAAGAAGCGAAACCGCGAGGUGGAGCAAAACUCAGAAAAGCACCCCUAGUUCGGAUUGGAGGCUGCAACCCGCCUCCAUGAAGCUGGAAUUGCUAGUAAUCACAGGUCAGCAUACUGUGGUGAAUACGUUCCCGGGUCUUGUACACACGC